RNAcentral lists this ribosomal RNA (92 nucleotides) under Pantoea agglomerans. RNAcentral describes it as "partial 23S ribosomal RNA". The stretch from base 1 to 74 matches the Rfam family "Bacterial large subunit ribosomal RNA", at positions 2852 to 2925 of the family's 2925-position model. The record is from RNAcentral. Lineage: Bacteria; Pseudomonadati; Pseudomonadota; Gammaproteobacteria; Enterobacterales; Erwiniaceae.
GUUGAUAGGCCGGGUGUGUAAGCGCAGCGAUGCGUUGAGCUAACCGGUACUAAUGACCCGUGAGGCUUAACCUUACAACGCCAGAGGCGUUU